GCCCAUGCUGCCCACCGGAGUCUCUUCAUCUAUGAACAGGUAGAUCUCUCUGCCCUAUUUUAUCCAAGAUUUAUGAACGAAUCGCGAUAAUAGAGUUUCAAUACUAUAUCUGCACAUGUUUUGUUAAGUUGGAUGAGUAACAUGCAUGUCAUAUCAUAGAGAUCUUUUUAAUUUUUGUUACUCUUUCCAUUCAGAAUUUUAAUGACAAACUUCCCAAAGUGUUCAUCCCAGUCCAGGUGGGCUCCCAUGACAAGAUGCCAUGGACUAGGCAGCAUCAACUCCUGGAUUUAUUUUUCUUAGUUCCUGAGGUCAGAAAUCCAAGAUCCAGGGGUGGUGAGGUAGGUUUCAUCUAGAGGCCGCAUCCCUCUGUGCUCACGGGACCUCUUCUUUGUGCAGGCAGAGACGACGGAGAGCUCUCUUACAAGGGCAGUAAUCCCAUCACAGGGCCCCACCCUCAUGACCUUGUCUAACCCUAACCCUCCCAAGGCCCCCCCUCCAAACACCUUCACAUGGGGAGUUAGGGCGUCAACAUACAAAUUUGGGGCGGUGGGUGCAGGUGCACAUAUUCCAUCCAUACAAACUUGCCCAUUUAAGGACGUAUUUUCCUUGUAGAUCUUCACUGGAAAGAGGAAACUUUUUAGUAGUAAGAGGAUAAAAAUCUCUGUCAUCCCAAUUGACCCAAGGUCUUCAAAAGAACGACUCUAUUAAAGCAGGAACUCAACAUCUCCGUUUUAAUUUUCCAUAGUUCCUUACUCACACCAUCCAGCUUUAAACCCAUGUGACUCCACAAGGGUGUUCAUUCUCUUUUUUAAUUAGUUAUGUCUCCCUUAGGACAACGAAGACAUUGGUAUUAACACUUUCCAAAUGCCAUUUAUUAUCAUUCCAGAAGGACACUAUUUGCAGAACCACCCUAUAACCAGGCCAGAAUAACACAUCAUUAAUGGCUUCAGGAAAAGAAAAUGUAUCAAUUAAAGCACAAUUCUUUUAUAAAAAGAAAAUAAUUAGCCAAAAGCCCACAUGUUGGCAGAUACUGUUAUUUCACAGCAGAUUUAAUGUGGUGGCAACACAACUGAUUUUGGAAGUGAAAAUAAUCGAGGCUGCAGACACACGUGGCACUGAAAAUAGGAUUUUCUCCCGUUGGAGGGUUGAGAUGCACUGUUAACUAAAACACUGAUUUCUAUACCCAGCAACCCUGAGGCAAUCUUAACAGAGAGGAUCAGAGAAUGCUCUGUCUCCAUGGCAGCCCAGCAUCUGUGGGGCUCUGCUGUUGGUGUUAGAUGUUGUGUUGCUCGCUGAGAGGUUGCCAAGCUGUAACUGCACAACCAUGACAUAAAGCGAUUGACCUAGUACCCGUAGCUUUGAAGCUGGACAUCUAAAAUGCAGCAGCAUAGACUAAUUAAGUAUAGACUACACUGCUCCCAAAAUAGUAAGACAAUCAAUGCAGGAGAAGCAGGUCCUUCAGUUCAUGCUGUGGAGCUCGGGCUCUGAGCUGGGCACUGUGCUGGGUGCAGAGUUGGACUUGAUGUGAAGGAGAGUGGUGCACAACUGACGAUGAUGCAACUGAGAAGGCUCGGUGGAGGCUUCAUGGAAGAAACAAACGACCUGGACUUCGAAGAACAGAGAGAACUCGCCACAAAGGGAAAGUGCAGGAGAGGUACGUGAACAGCUCUAUUGAAUCGGGGUGCAGGGUGGUCAAAGGGAAGGGAGGGGUCAUCAGUUCCAAGGCAGCUAAAGCCCUGAGAAGGAUGUUGAAGGCCAGGUCGAUUCAUGGGAAGCCGGUGCUGCUUUUGAGAAGGGGACGAUACCCUCGUAAGUAGGAGAAAUACACUUUGUCUAUCGCAUCAGAUACACUCGAGACUCAGGUCGCAGGCAGGACAUUUAAGAGGUCUUUGGAAAAGUCUGGUCAGGGCUGACAGGAGCGGAGUAACGGCAUCUUCAGAGGGAACGCUGAGGAAGGCGGGCCUUGCAGGGCUUGUCGGGCCGGACUGGAGCCCUGCACGUGAAGGAGCGGGGGCAGAUGAAGGACGCUGCAGGGCCGGAGACGAGGCAGGGGCGGACAAGGACGGACACACCCGCGGCUCCCGCAGCAGCACGGUUUCUCGGCCGAGAGGCUGCGACACGGCAGGAGGGCCCUGGAGUCAGGCCCCCCGCCCCGCAGGCCCUUCCCAGCCGGCUGAGGCCCCCUUCGUGGGCGCGGAGCCCUCCUCGGGAAGAGGCUUUGACGACGCCCGUCGGCCGUCUCCGGGUUAGAAUCGUGGAACGGAAGGCAGAAGUCUGUGAAAGGCACUUGGCGCUUCAGGGCAAGAGCGUCACACAGGCGGGCACGCGCCAGGCCCCGCGCUGUGAUCCGCUGACGAGGGGGCGCGCACGAAGGCUCGGGGCCCAGCCACACGCACACCAGGACGCGCAGGCGCUGGGUGCGCACGACGGUCCGCGCGAGGACCGGAGAGGCGACCCCGCGCGGCCCUCGCGGCGGGAAAGCGGUGAGACGCACGUGCCGCGUCGAACAGGGCGCCGUCCGCAGUGGAGGCUGGAGGCCGGGGCUGUUGCGAGCGUUUUCCCUGAACGCCAGGCAUGGAAAUGGUGGCACGCGAACAAUAAGUCAGGUCGGGCCGGCAGUGGGACUGUAGUUUCCUGAUUUCUACCCUCUUCCGUUUCUGGAGAGGUCACUGGUUUUUCUUUUUUCGAUCUUCAUCAGAAAAAGUGAGCCUGAAGCCCACCCUCAGGUCAGAGCGCGGGGCUGGGGAGGAAGAAAGAGGCGCGCGCGCUCCGGGCUUCAAAGCUGGGCCUCGAUGAAGGGAAACAACGCUUAUAUUGUAUCUCACACAAUUUCAGGACUUACUGGGUUGACAGAGAAAAGCAAUUUACAUUAUAUGAGGAAGAAUUGUCUGGAAAGGAGCCCUCUGUAACAAUGACUGACAUCUAUACACUCCUUUAGCAUUUGCAGACACUCCGACGUGACUUCUCUCGGACACACGGGCUUCCCACCCUCCUCAGAACAGCCCCCGAAGUGUAGGGGCCUAGGAACGGGGCUCCAUGGACGAGCCCAGAAGAUGAACAACACCCAGCGUCCCUUUCUGAAGUGUGUCCCAGACUUCAUCUCACCUGUGCCCCUCGUGCUUCACAGGAGGAACGCGGCCGGUUUUUAUUGCUGAAGGUAGAGAUGUUGGUCUCCGUUAAGGCACGUCUGCGCACAGAGGACAAACAGCCCUGCAGGGCGUUCUGACACCCUCUCCGUUUGUAGGGAAACCAGGAAGACCACUCCUGACCAUGUCCCUAGGCCCCACGGAGCUCACCCUGGAGACUCAGCUCUUUUCUACAGGCCCCUUGGAUUCCAUUCCCAACAAAUUUCUAGGAAACAAGAAGAAUUAAGGCAAAUCUUGGUGCAACAGAGAUCAUUUAAGAGCAUAAUUAAACUAGUGUGCUUUUUUCUUUCACUUUUCUGCACUGUAUACGUGGCCUUUCCCCUAGGCAGCCAGCAAUCGUCAUUUGCCACAAGGAAGAUGAGAAUUGUCAAAAUAAAAUGCAAACUAAAGGAAGAGGCAUUAUUCAGAUUCUGACAGAAUGAGAUAUUUGCAUCUCUGCUGAGACAAUAUUUUUAAAAGCUAUGAUUGUGAGAGGAUAAAUAAAUAUGUCCUGUGAACAAGCACAUGCGUGUAUGUAUGCACACACACAUGUAUAUAUGCAUACGUUCAUUUUCUCAAUCCUGUACUCUUCUCAACAUACUAAGAAGCCCAGCCUGGAAGAGUUUAUGCAAGGUGCUGGGUAGAAGGGACUGAGGCUGUGACAAAGGAGCUGCACUGCCUCUGGGGAGGAAAGGAGGGGAGGCCUCUGAGACCCAGAAGAAGACAGUUUUAAAUAAAGAAAAGGCAGAAGUUCAAAGCCAUUGUCUUUCUUUCCAACUCCCAGGUUGGACGCUUAAGUCAGGGACGACGGAGAGUCCAGAGGAUGUGGGGCACCCACCUGACUGAGCAGAGUGGGGUCUCCUCGCUGGCCUGGCCCCCCAGCCCAGCCAGAGGGGUCCGAGCAGGUUCCUAAGUGAGCACUCAGGAAUGUGGACACAGACUCCGCAGCAUCUGGAGAUUCUGGGGUUCCCACGGAGAUCGAGCAGAGGAGGUGGGAGAAUCAGAGAAGCCAGGUUUCAGGGCAGGAGACCUCACCAUGGAGGGACCCCAGCACCCACCCUGCCAGACCCAGGCCUCCUCAACCAGCCACAGACCCAUGCUGAGCACGGUCUCGCUCAGAGAAGUGGAAGGGGAACCCAAAGGAAAUUUUCUUGCUAUUCGAACUUGCUCUCAACUGUCUUCUCCACCUCAUUAAGAGACAUUCACAGAAACUCUUUGUUUCCAAAUGUGACCACUUUUGUAAACUGCUUUUGACGUCCAUCUGGAGGAAUCCACACAGCAACACAACACUGAAGGGAACAGCCAAGACUGGAGAUUGUUGACCAACCAAGGCACGUCUUCCAGCCAAUGGUGACCUUCUAACAUCAUGUUCACCUACCAUCACCAAUCCAGACAUUAUGGAAAACUUCAAGCCAGAAGUUUCAGAUGAUGUAUCUUGUUGUUGCUGAUAAUUCUGGACUGGUUUGUAUCUGAAUCACCAUCUACGCCUCAUUAACUAGGUCUACCUGCAACAGCUCAAGGCGCAGCUGAGGAAGUGUCCUCGCAGAAGAGCCCACACGGUGGUCGUCUCUGCCAUGUUGUAUUGGCUGCAGUCGGGUCCAGUGGGAACGCUGUCGUCCGAUGGGUCAACACUGCUUUGGAUGACUCAAAGGUCGAUCACAAUACUGCUGUCAAGUGCACUUGUGAUUGUGGAGCAGUCAUUUAAAUGCCUGGUCUGCUCUGUAGUUGUUACAAAAGAAGACUAUUUCCCACUUUUGUCAGAAAUGCAAAAAUGAACAUCAGGUGAGCCACAUACUUGUUGUCUAGAUUAAAAAAAAGUAAUAGGCUUACUCAUUGUUAUUCAAUACAGGAAUAAAAAAAUACUAAAAAAGUAUUGACAGGACACUCAUCUGAGCACAGGCUUGCCAAAACCUCAGACGACAUCAGGUGCCUUUGUAGACAGCGUUUCCUGUCCUGCCGAGAAAUUUAUCUGAGAAGGUAGAGCCAGACACCCAAGUAACCUGCUUGGAGGUCUCAGGUCCCCGUCAGCAGCGAGCUGUUUGUGAUAGAGCUCAGGACCCUUCGCUCUUCUCUAUGAUUCCCAACUCCUCCUUCUGCAGCUUCCCCAUUUGUGUGAACAUCGCAUCUCCUCUCCAGUCAAGGGCACACCUCCCUCUGCCUCCAUCACCAGUUUUCCACUAAACACCUCUUGUCAUCACUGCCUUCAAGCUCCAAGCCACCAUCAUCUCUUGCGUCUGUUCCCUCACUGGCCUCCUAAAACAUGUGCCCACCCCCAUCUUGUCCUCUCCUCCAACCCUGUCUCCACCCUGAAGCCAGACAAUCUUUUUAAGCAUAAACUUGAAUGUGUCAUACCUCAGCUUAACCUCCAUCUAUGGCUUCCUAGCUGUUCUUUUGAUAAAGGCAGAAAUCCUGUGUAUGGAUUACUUUGAUUUCUCGGGGAAGUCAGAUGUGACAGGUGGCACUCAUUUGGGUGCAAUGUCAGUCACCUGAGUUUGUGCUACACUGUGGCAAUAGCAACAGUGCCAGUGACUCGGAACAACAAAGAUGUACUUGUAGUUUGUGCCACAUGCCCAUCACGGGCCGGCUGAAGCUCGGUUCCAUGCUCUCUGUACUCUGAAAGUACAGCCCGACAUGGGACAUCACGGGUUUCAAGGGAUGGGAAUAGGAAAGACGAUGGACCACAAACUGACUCUUGAAGAUCCUGUUCAGAGGUGAUUCAGGCCACAUCCAACAUCCACAGAGCAGGAGAUAGAGUCUUCCCACAGCUAGAAGCCUUGCACAAAGAACGGUGGGAGAGUCACCAUGACAUACCAUGACGCACCAUGAUAGAAUCCACCACACCUUCUAAAGAACCCCCCCAAAAAGAAAUUUCACAAUUAGGUAUGAUAUUUGUUCUAUAUUUCUGUUAGAUACUCUUUGAAAAACAUUAUUUUAGAACCUAUUCUAUUUCUGACUGAAAGUUUUUAUGAUGUAUGGGUCAUUGAAUUUUAUAAAUAUUGUUUCUGCAUCUAUUUGAGAUGAUUGUAAGAAUAUUCUCCUUUAAUCUGUUUAUUAAUGUAUGUACAUGCACUUUAUAAUGUAAUGUACACUGGUAAAAUCAGUCAAUCAAUCAAUCAAUCAAUCCUGGCUCUGUUUCAUCACCUAAAAAAUAAAAGACUGAACCUUCCAAUCCAAGAUGCUCCAAGAAGGAGGAGGAAUAAAGGCUGAAUGUACAAAAUAAUAACAUGAA
RNAcentral lists this long non-coding RNA (6354 nucleotides) under Equus caballus (horse). RNAcentral's name for it is "lncRNA (ENSECAG00000046784.1)". Lineage: Eukaryota; Metazoa; Chordata; Mammalia; Perissodactyla; Equidae. The record is from RNAcentral.